RNAcentral lists this long non-coding RNA (3114 nucleotides) under Homo sapiens (human). RNAcentral's name for it is "HSALNT0245410". The record is from RNAcentral. Lineage: Eukaryota; Metazoa; Chordata; Mammalia; Primates; Hominidae.
AAACAAACAAAACCACAUAUUUUUGGGCAGGGUGCAGGCGCUCACACCUGUAAUCCCAGCACUUUGGGAGGCCAAGGUGGGGGAAUCAUGAGGUCAAGAGUUCGAGACCAGCCUGGCCAACAUGGUGAAACCCUGUCUCUACUAAGAAUACAAAAAUUAGCCGGGGCUGGGUGCAGUGGCUCACCCGCCUGUUUGUUUUUAAGAAGUCCUGCCCAGGCCAUCCUUUGAGGGGAACCCCAAGAUGCCGGAAGCCCUCCCGGGGCCGGGCAGGAUUUAAGUCCUUAACUGUGCGGGGCCUUGUUUGGCCCUUUACACACAUUACCCUUCAAAACACCUUCCAGGGUGACAUUAGCGUCUCUUCCAUUCUGUAGAUGGUGAAUGGAGGCUCAGAGGGGUUUGGUAACUUGCCCAAGCUCACAUAGCCAGGAAAGGGUGUAGCUAGGACGCCCGAUGUCUGGCUCCAGGGCCUGGAGGCUCCUAGGGGACGGGCUCCUCUUGCCCUAAGACUGGGGCUAGAAGACCCCCUCUCAGGGAGCCAGAGAGGGAACUUGGUCCAGCAUUCCAGCGCUUUCCAAACCAAGCUCCUCAGAGGCCUGGGGGUCCCCAGCGGUGCCCAAGGGGCUGCUAUGGGGCAAACCAGAGGCUGGGGAGUAGCCCACGCUCCCCAUUGAUUCCACUGAGCAAUGUUCCUUGACCCCCUGCAUAUUUGGGACAUUUGGGGAGCAGAAUGCUGGGUGCAGAGGAGAAAUCUUGAGGCGGAGCUAGGAUGUCUCCCGCUUCUUUAAGGCUAGUCCAGCAGCGCUGGCUUCGCCUCCUUCCAUCCCGAAGUGCUGGGGAGUCCUGACCCCACCCCCCAGGGCAGACUGCCCGGCUGAGUAUGACGAGGUCCUCAGAGAUCAACCCACUGGGCUGGGUUGGUGCCAAGGAGCCCUGGCAGCCACACCGGGACCCCACUCGGUUGAAGCUGUGGCUAGGUCCCCUCAUCCUAAGCCUGCUCUGGGGACAGCUCCAGGACAACAGCCUCACCUGGGACCUCUGCAAGAAAAGUUCAUAGCUUGGCCUCCUUUGGGACCAGGGUACACCAAGAGGGCAUGGGGAGGGCACUGCCCUGGGGAACUGGCACUGGGGGAUGGGAGGCAAGCAGUGGAAGCAGCUGGGUGCAAGGGUGGGGCCUCCAGACUCCAGCUCAGUUAAGGUCGCCAAGCAGGUAGGAUCUUUCUGGAACCCAGAUCUGAUCACACCUCCCUGGAGGUCCCUUCAGGCCUGCCCUCCCUGCCACACCCUCACCAGACAAAACACUUCCCUGUGCCAUCCCCAAGCUCUCACCUCCUCUCAUCUGAAGCGCUGCGCCUGGCACACCAGGCUCCACCUUGCCUGCCUGGCCAAGCCCUACUAGGAAAGUAAAAUGUCACCUCCAGAGAGAAUCAACCACUUUAUUGCCUGCUCUCUCCAGCAUCUCGCGGAUUUACCUACAUGUAGGAGUCCCCUACCCAACCCCGGGCAGCCCAGGAUCCUGCACCCAGUGAGCCCUCAUCAAUGGCUAACUGAAUGGGAAGCUAGUGAGAGGGUGGGGCUGGCGGUGGUCAGCCUAUGUCAGCCCUGGACAGAAGGGGUCUCCCUCAUCCUGCAGCUGGUCCAGGAAGCAGCCCUCUUUGGAGGGCUCCACUGAGAGCUCCUGCCCUGCUGGCUCCGUACCCACAGCAGGGCCAGGAUGGAGGACGCUGCAUGCUGUGCCAGAACGAGUGUCUAGUGGACCUCCCCACUAGACUCCCCACUAGACUCCCCACCUAGCUCCCUAGCCCACCACAGGCACCGCUUUUGGUUCUAGGGUUCUGCCCAGCCAGCCUCCCUGUCCCAAGGCCAGGCCAUCCCAGCUGAGACCCCUGCCCAGGAUCCGCUGCAUGGCUGGCAUCUGUGCCAACCUCCUGAUGAGAGAGGCUCCCAAAACCCAACACUGAGGGAGAGGAGAGCCUGGUCAGCCCCAGGGCAAUCAGUUGGGGGGGGGUCCCGAAGAGAGGUGGCCUGACACCAGACAGCAGAGACAGGGCCAGGGCGGGUGGGCAUGUCUUCCUGGGCAGGAGCCUGGCAUCGGGAGUGCCAUCUGAACCGCAGAGCACAAGAGGCCUGGGCAGCGGCCUGAGAGCAGCUCCACCCUCUGGCCUCAGUUCCCUUCUCUGAGGGAAUGGGACAAGGUCACGGCCCAGCUUUGACACCCAUGAAGCCUAAACAUGGAGUAUGGAAGCAUGACUUUGCACCAGCCACUUUCCACCAUUGAGAUCAACUGCCUCCAACUCGUGCAGAAGUUGGGGUGGGGGUGCAAAGGCCCAGCCCCUUCCUUGGGGCUCAGCGGGGAAAGGAGUGGGGACUGUCAGACCCACUCUGGCCUUCCUCAUGGCUCAAGUCCAGAUGGCAGGAACCAGACAGAAAAAAGCGCUGGAGAGCUGGAGCUACCCCACCCAGCACUUAUCUCCGAGCCCUAGAGAUGCUUGCUCACUGCAGGGGAAAUGGUGACAUCCUGGGACCAGGCUUCCUCCUGGCCCGCAGUCACAUCCGCCGCUCUCUCUCUAAGACCCCCAGGCCCGCCUCCGCACCCAGCCCACAGGCGGAACACUGCCACCUGCCCAGCCAGAUCCUGGCCUCACUGUGGCCAACCCCAGAGAAGGGCCUUCAGCCCCAGCCCAGCUGGGAGAUGCCAAAGAGACCUGGGGAGAGGGACUGGGGCUUAGGGUGGGACAGACUCUAUUUCCUCCUCCUUUAGGGUGGGGCGGGGGAAAUCCUGAAAAAAAGUGAAGUGCAGAGUUCAGAUCACCCCCAGGUCCCAUGGGUUGAGGCCUCUGUACCCUCCCCUGCCCAGGCUCAGGGCCUCCCCCACUGCAGAUAGCUUUGGAGACAGCAUAACCCAGCUGGCAGCAGCGGACCUCAGACACAUCCAACGAAACACAGACUCAGACACCAUUUACCACUGCUGCCCAGAGAAUCUGGUUUCCCCACAAAGGGUGAGGCCAGGCACUCCCAACCAAGCCUGUUCCGCACAGCUGGGUAAGCAAGGCCACCCCCAGGGAGGUCCCCAACAGCUCUACCAGCCAGUCCAGGCAGGGUACAAGGGUCCCCCCG